This 192-nucleotide small nucleolar RNA is filed under the name Alligator mississippiensis (American alligator). RNAcentral describes it as "Small nucleolar RNA U3". It matches the Rfam family "Small nucleolar RNA U3". From Rfam's summary of the family: Small nucleolar RNAs (snoRNAs) are involved in the processing and modification of rRNA in the nucleolus. There are two main classes of snoRNAs: the box C/D class, and the box H/ACA class. U3 snoRNA is a member of the box C/D class. Lineage: Eukaryota; Metazoa; Chordata; Crocodylia; Alligatoridae. The record is from Rfam by way of RNAcentral.
AUUUUUGCCCUUGAAACAAAAUUAAAAAUAAAUAAAUAAUUGAUUGGUCUCACUACCUAUGACAGGGAGUUGUAAUGUUCUCUCCUGAGUGCAAAGUGAGCAGGUGGUGCUGCCAUGGUGCAGCUGUUGCCAGCUACUAUGACUGUUCUGCUUCCCCUGCAGGGUAAGAUGGGGGUGGGCACUCUGAGAUGU